This 497-nucleotide ribosomal RNA is filed under the name uncultured bacterium. RNAcentral's name for it is "partial 16S ribosomal RNA". It matches the Rfam family "Bacterial small subunit ribosomal RNA", at positions 28 to 507 of the family's 1533-position model. The record is from RNAcentral.
GACGAACGCUGGCGGCGUGCCUAAUACAUGCAAGUAGAACGCUGAAGAGAGGAGCUUGCUCUUCUUGGAUGAGUUGCGAACGGGUGAGUAACGCGUAGGUAACCUGCCUUGUAGCGGGGGAUAACUAUUGGAAACGAUAGCUAAUACCGCAUAACAAUGGAUGACACAUGUCAUUUAUUUGAAAGGGGCAAUUGCUCCACUACAAGAUGGACCUGCGUUGUAUUAGCUAGUAGGUGAGGUAAUGGCUCACCUAGGCGACGAUACAUAGCCGACCUGAGAGGGUGAUCGGCCACACUGGGACUGAGACACGGCCCAGACUCCUACGGGAGGCAGCAGUAGGGAAUCUUCGGCAAUGGGGGCAACCCUGACCGAGCAACGCCGCGUGAGUGAAGAAGGGUUUCGGAUCGUAAAGCUCUGUUGUAAGUCAAGAACGGGUGUGAGAGUGGAAAGUUCACACUGUGACGGUAGCUGACCAGAAAGGAACGGCUAACUACGUG